AUAUCUUUCUUGGCCUUUUGGCGAAGAUCAAGUGUAGUAUGUGUUUAUUAGCUUAAUAUCUGAUACGCAGGCUAAUGGCUCAUACGAUAUUAAAUUUAUAUUUUGAGGGUGAGAACCUUUCAUAGUAGCUUGCUUCAGGGGGAGGAUCAAGCUCAGAAACGAGCUUGAAUCGAGCUCGAGUUUCAAUCGAGCUCUUGAA
This is a small nuclear RNA of Hibiscus syriacus, 199 nucleotides long. RefSeq annotates it as U2 spliceosomal RNA. The transcript has a single exon. Lineage: Eukaryota; Viridiplantae; Streptophyta; Magnoliopsida; Malvales; Malvaceae. The record is from RefSeq and is a predicted model, not a curated record.